RNAcentral lists this long non-coding RNA (2334 nucleotides) under Homo sapiens (human). RNAcentral's name for it is "novel transcript". The record is from RNAcentral. Lineage: Eukaryota; Metazoa; Chordata; Mammalia; Primates; Hominidae.
GGAAGACACCAGAGCUGUCCCUCUCUCGGCUUGCACUAAGGAGGAGGUCACGUGAGCACACAGUGAGAAGGCGGAGGACCAUCUGCAAGCAGGAAGAGAGCCCUCGCUAGAACCCCCCACGGUGGCAUCUGAUAGUGGACUUCUAGCUUCCAGAACUGAACUCAUAAAUGUCACAUCAGGCUGCCUCUUGGUGAAUUUUUAAUCAACGGGGAGAAUUUCAGCUACAAAUAGACCAAGAAUCAAGAGGCCCACUAUUGAUCGGUCAAAGUGGCACUUAUGAACCUGAGGUUGAAGCAGUUUGGAUAAAAGGAUUCUGGGCUUUCGAUGGCCCCAGAGACAUCUUUUUCCAUCAAGUCCAGGCUUGCUGAUCGGUACAGCUGAGAACAUGUUGAAUUUGAUGUGCCUGUGGAUAUUUGAGUCUGGAACAUUGAAGACAAGUUUGGUCUGGAGAUGUAGACUGGGGAUAUCUCAGCACACAGAUGAUAACUGAAAUGAUGGAGCGGAUGAUAUAAACUGGAGAGAGUCUGGUGUGGGAAGAGUCUUCCCUGAGGUGGCCGAAAGAUGUAAUUCUUACUCCAAAGACUGAAAUAGAGACAAGAGAAGCUGAAGUUACAGGGUUUUGUCAUUGGGAAGACAGUAGAGUGUGUCAUAUCCCAAGAGUGAAGCAAGGACAAACCAAAGAACAACUGGGAAGAUCUGGGAGAAAAAGGGAGAGGAGAGCCUGACGUUUCAAGAACUCAAGGUUCAGUACUAGGUCUUAGAGGAAGACUUCAUUUUAGCUUUGAUGCUCUCCGCUAGGCACAGAGAAACUUAAGCAGAAUGACAAGACCUGCUGUUUGAGUAACUCACGUUCUGACCAGAGAGACAGACAUGUCAGCAAGAGGUUACAAUACAGUGUGCUCAGAUUCUCCGGGACUUGGAGCACUUGUUCCAGAAAGGAAGGCCAGGGAAGUCUUCCAGGAGUAGAUGGCGCCUCUGCUGACCUGAAGGGUGAGGAAAAAGUGUCCAGUUGCAGAAGAAAUGAUGCAACUGAGUCACAGAGAAGUUAAGUAAUCUGCCUGCCGACACUCGGGUCGAUGCCGCCUCAUUCCAUCACUCGGGCAAUGGAGCCAAAGGCCACGUUCACAACCACUAGGCUGUCCCAGCCCCUUGCUUCAAAGAUAGCCAGGCAGGAGUUAUUUUAUAGAAUGGAAGUAAUUUCUACGGGGCCAAGCAAUAAUAAGGAAAUUGGAAGUCAAGGACUAUCUUCCGAAUGGAGAAGAAGCUCCAUCAACCACAGAAGGAAAUUAUGAUCACUCCUGCCAUCCUGCUCCUUUGUGUAUCCAGGAUGAAGGGGAGAAUUGGAGUCUUGCACAAUGAAAGGACAACAUUGCUGCCAAAACAAUCCAUCGUGACUGUAGACAUAUUUUCCACCCUCAUCCUGCAGGUUUUCUGCCAGUUGUUGGCCCCUCACCAAUUUUGCUCCUGGGCAGUCUGAGGUGGAACAUAAUUUUGUAUAAAACAAAUUAUGCUCAACCUCACUUAUAAUCAGGGAAAUGUGAGUCAAAACCACAAUAAAAUAUCACCUCAUGCUGUUUAGGAUUGCUGUUAUCAAGUAGACAAGAAAGAAGUGUUGGUGAGGGUAAGGAGAAAAUAAAAUCUUUGCACACUGUUGGUGGGAAUGUAAGUUGGUAAAGCCACUAUCAAAGGCAAUAUGAAGGAUUCUCAAAAAAUUAAAAAUAAAAUUGCCAAAUGAUCCAUCAAUCCUUCUUCUGGACACAUAAUCAAAGGAAAUGAAAUCAGUAUCUCAAAUAGAUAUUUGCACCCCAUAUCCAUUGCAUCCUUUUUUGUAAUAACCAAGAUAUGGGAGCAAUCGAAGUGUCCAUCAGCAAAUGAAUGGAUAAAGAAAUCAUGGUACACAUAUACAGUGGAAUAUUAUUCAGACAUAAAAAGGAAGGAAAUCCUGUCAUUUCUCAAGACAUUAAUGAACCCAGAGGACAUCAUACUAAGUGAAAUAAGCUAGAUAUAGGAAGACAAAAACCACAUGAUCUCACUUACAUGUGGAAUCUAAAAAAGUCAAACUCAUAGAAGCAGCGAGUAGAAUAGUGGUUGUCAAGGGCUUGGGAUAAUUGAGGAGAUGUUGGUUAAAGGGUACAAACUUUAAGUUAUAAGAUGAACAAGUUCUGGCGCUCUACUAUAUAGUAUGGGUGAUGACGGAUGUGUUAAUUAAUUUGAUUGUGACAUUCAUUACACGAUGCAUAUGUAUAACAAAUCAUCACAUUGUACACCUUGGAUAUAUUCCAUCUUUAUUUAUCAAUUAAAUAUUUCAAAAUGUUUUUAAAAAGGAAGGCAAAA